ACUCGAGUGGCGAACGGGUGAGUAACACGUGGGUGAUCUGCCCUGCACUUCGGGAUAAGCCUGGGAAACUGGGUCUAAUACCGGAUAGGAGCCAUCUUUAGUGUGAUGGUUGGAAAGUUUUUUCGGUGUAGGAUGAGCUCGCGGCCUAUCAGCUUGUUGGUGGGGUAAUGGCCUACCAAGGCGGCGACGGGUAGCCGGCCUGAGAGGGUGGACGGCCACAUUGGGACUGAGAUACGGCCCAG
RNAcentral lists this ribosomal RNA (242 nucleotides) under uncultured Actinomycetales bacterium. Its description in RNAcentral is "partial 16S ribosomal RNA". It matches the Rfam family "Bacterial small subunit ribosomal RNA", at positions 89 to 334 of the family's 1533-position model. The record is from RNAcentral. Lineage: Bacteria; Bacillati; Actinomycetota; Actinomycetes; Actinomycetales.